CAAAUUUUUCUGAUUUUGUUAUUCAAACUCCUAUUCGCCAAAAUAUUCAGGGAAGAGCUGGUAAAUUUCAGGUGUUAAAUGAACCUUCUUCUCGUACACCGAUAGAUAGAUUUUUUGCUAAGGCACUUAAAACUGAGAGAGAAUCGAUUAAAAAAGUGUCUUCACGCUUGUCCUCAUCUUCCUCCCUCUCUUCCUCCUCUUCCCUCUCUUCUUCUAUUGGAGAAGAACAACAACAAUCACAAGAAGAAGAAGAAGGAAAAGAAGAAAAAAGAUUGAGAAACUGCGAAAUUCAAUUUUGGAAGACACUGCCCUUCUCUCAACCUGUUUAUGGC
This 332-nucleotide non-coding RNA is filed under the name Paramoeba aestuarina. Lineage: Eukaryota; Discosea; Flabellinia; Dactylopodida; Paramoebidae. The record is from RNAcentral.